UCCUCAGUAGCUCAGUGAUAGAGCGGUCGGCUGUUAACCGAUUGGUCAUAGUUCGAAUCCUACUUGGGAA
Non-coding RNA from Nicotiana attenuata, 70 nucleotides. Lineage: Eukaryota; Viridiplantae; Streptophyta; Magnoliopsida; Solanales; Solanaceae. The record is from Rfam.